RNAcentral lists this long non-coding RNA (1653 nucleotides) under Oryza sativa Indica Group (long-grained rice). RNAcentral's name for it is "lncRNA OsGoSa_10g0007810". Lineage: Eukaryota; Viridiplantae; Streptophyta; Magnoliopsida; Poales; Poaceae. The record is from RNAcentral.
GCAGAGCAAAGCAUCCUCAAAAGAAUCCUACCGCCAUUAAUGGCAUUCCCAGCCUUCUUCUUUUUCUUUGACCCAGCAAGCAAGAGCGUCUAGUCACCUCAACCACGAACUUGAAACCGCUGCUCUGCUGCUGCUGCUGCAACUGUUGCGCUUUGAGUGUGACUACAGUGUCUGCUACUCCUACUACUCUGCUUUGCCACUACUUGGUUCACAGGAGGGUGGCGAGAGGGAGAGUGUGAGGAGCUGAGAGAGGGAGAGGGAUUGGGAUGGAGUUCUUGGUGGCUCAAGCGCUCCUCCUCCUCGUCGUCGUCUCCAACUCCCUCCUCCUCCCUUCCUUGGGUCUUGCUGUUUCAGGUCAAGAAGCACACGAGGUGGCCAUGGCUGGCCUCCAUGAUCAGCAGCCGCCAUCUCCGGCAGCGGUGGCUGCGCGUGUAUCGGUCGCUCACGCGGACCUCCCCAUGGUGGCCUCCUCGGUUCUUGGGGCGGAGUCCUGGCUCAGGGCCCAUGUCCUGGCUCACUACCCCUCCAACCACGUCACCGCCAUCGCCGUCGCCGUCGCCUGCGCCCGCGGCGGAAGCCGCCAUGGCCAAGACCUCCGCGCCUCGCGCGCCGCCAAGAACCUGCACCACGCCCUCGUGCGCUGGGGCCUCGUCGACGAAAUCAAGAUCGACGCCUCCUCCGCCCCGUGCACCGAGGAGGUGGGAGGAGGGGCUCUGAAGCGGAGGCUGUACGGCAUGCACCACCUGCCGCCGCCGCUGCCGCCGACGUCGGUGGCGAGUCCGCCGCCGCCCGGCGUGCCGUUGUCCUUCGCGCCGAACGCGCCACCGGAGGUUGUCCCGUCGGUUCCGCCCGCCGCUGCGCCGCCGAGCACGCCCGUCGUCGUCGUGCCUGCGCCUGCUACAAGCCCACCCAUGUCAAUGCCGGCUACUCCGCCUGAGGCGGCGGCUGGCGGCAUGGCGCCGUGCUCGGCUCCACCGACGGCGGCGAUGUCGCCGCAGCCGUGGUCCGGUGAGGGAGGGAACGGUGGUGGGCAAUGGUGCGUGGCCAAGCCCACUGUCCCUCUGGACAGGUUGCAGGAGGCAAUGGAUUACGCCUGCAGCCAGGAUGGGGUGGAUUGCCAGGAGAUUUCGGGCGGGGGAAGCUGCUUCUACCCGGACAGCAUCGCGGCGCAUGCGUCGUAUGCGUUCAAUAGCUACUGGCAGAAGAUGAAGCAUAUUGGUGGGAGCUGCAGCUUUGGUGGUACUGCUGUGCUUAUCAAUUCUGACCCAAGUUAUCUCCAGUGUCGCUUCAUGAUGAGUUGAAAAAUGCUGAACUUGAAUCUUCUAUUUGGGUUCGUUGAGCGAAGCGAAGAUCUGGAUCUCUUGAUGGCCGAUGGUUGCAUUGUGCUGCGAAACAUCAAGUCUCAUUUUUUUUGCCCAUCCGGGGUCCUCUGUUAGGACGCCGAGCUGAUGUAGGAUUGCUAUAUGUUAAAAGUCAGAUUUGAUGCAUAGUUUCGUCUGAGAACUGUUAGAGCACAAUUUCUCUGCUUGGCUCAUGGUGGCCUGGAGGUACUCAGCAUCUUGCUGCUGGCCACAUGAUGAUUAUGUAAGGCAGAAAAGAUACCUCAAUUGGAACCUGCAUGCUGAUGUUAUGUCCAGUUUAUUCUGAAGUAUU